UACGAAGGGGGGCUAGCGUUGCUCGGAAUCACUGGGCGUAAAGCGCACGUAGGCGGACUCUUAAGUCAGGGGUGAAAUCCUGGAGCUCAACUCCAGAACUGCCUUUGAUACUGGGAGCCUUGAGUUCGGGAGAGGUGAGUGGAACUGCGAGUGUAGAGGUGAAAUUCGUAGAUAUUCGCAAGAACACCAGUGGCGAAGGCGGCUCACUGGCCCGAUACUGACGCUGAGGUGCGAAAGCGUGGGGGAGCAAACAGG
This 255-nucleotide ribosomal RNA is filed under the name uncultured bacterium. RNAcentral describes it as "partial 16S ribosomal RNA". It matches the Rfam family "Bacterial small subunit ribosomal RNA", at positions 524 to 776 of the family's 1533-position model. The record is from RNAcentral.